GUGCCAGCCGCCGCGGUAAUACGUAGGGGGCAAGCGUUGUCCGGAUUUAUUGGGCGUAAAGAGCGUGUAGGCGGCCAGGUAGGUCGGUUGUGAAAACUCGAGGCUCAACCUCGAGAUGUCGACCGAAACCAUCUGGCUAGAGUCCGGAAGAGGAGAAUGGAAUUCCCGGUGUAGCGGUGAAAUGCGCAGAUAUCGGGAAGAACACCCGUGGCGAAGGCGGUUCUCUGGGACGGUACUGACGCUGAGACGCGAAAGCGUGGGGAGCGAACAGGAUUAGAUACCCGUGUAGUCC
Molecule: ribosomal RNA, 292 nt
Filed under: uncultured bacterium
Lineage: Bacteria
Description: partial 16S ribosomal RNA
Rfam family: Bacterial small subunit ribosomal RNA
Source: RNAcentral